AACGAACGCUGGCGGCAUGCCUAACACAUGCAAGUCGAGCGAGACCUUUGGGUCUAGUGGCGCACGGGUGCGUAACGCGUGGGAAUCUGCCCUUGGGUUCGGAAUAACAGUGAGAAAUUGCUGCUAAUACCGGAUGAUGUCUUCGGACCAAAGAUUUAUCGCCCAGGGAUGAGCCCGCGUAGGAUUAGCUAGUUGGUGGGGUAAUGGCCUACCAAGGCGACGAUCCUUAGCUGGUCUGAGAGGAUGAUCAGCCACACUGGGACUGAGACACGGCCCAGACUCCUACGGGAGGCAGCAGUGGGGAAUAUUGGACAAUGGGCGCAAGCCUGAUCCAGCAAUGCCGCGUGAGUGAUGAAGGCCUUAGGGUUGUAAAGCUCUUUUACCAGGGAUGAUAAUGACAGUACCUGGAGAAUAAGCGCCGGCUAACUCCGUG
RNAcentral lists this ribosomal RNA (433 nucleotides) under uncultured bacterium. RNAcentral's name for it is "partial 16S ribosomal RNA". It matches the Rfam family "Bacterial small subunit ribosomal RNA", at positions 29 to 507 of the family's 1533-position model. The record is from RNAcentral.